GUAGUCUCGCACAGAUGCAUAUCAAUAAGCGGAGGAAAAGAAACUAACAAGGAUUCCCCUAGUAACGGCGAGUGAAGCGGGAAGAGCUCAAAUUUGAAAUCUUAAAGGGUUUCCCUUUACGAAUUGUAGUUUAAAGAAGUGUUUUCUGUUGAGGUUUUGGUAAAAGUUCUUUGGAAUAGGACAUCAUAGAGGGUGAGAAUCCCGUAUUUGACCUUUACUUUCACUUUGUGAUACACUUUCAAAGAGUCGGAUUGUUUGGGAAUGCAGUCCAAAAUGGGUGGUAAAUUUCAUCUAAAGCUAAAUAUUGGCGAGAGACCGAUAGCGAACAAGUACCGUGAGGGAAAGAUGAAAAGAACUUUGAAAAGAGAGUUAAACAGUACGUGAAAUUGUCAAAAGGGAAGCGUUUGACACCAGUGUUGUUUUUCUGAAAAUCAAUUAAAGAACUGUUUAUGCUAAGCUUGUUUAGACUUUAUCAGCUAUCUGCUUAGUUUUGAGCUUUUCUUUAAUGCACUUUUCAGUUAACAAGUCAACAUCAAUUUCUUUUGCUGUAAAAAAGCUUGAGGAAGGUGGCUUGAGAUUCGUCUUAAGUGUUUAUAGCCUCUUGCCUAUGCAGUCGGAGAGAUUGAGGUCUGCAGCGUAGAUCCUUCGGGGCUAAAUGCAUUUGUGCUAAGUUAUAGCAUUUUAUAGACAACUUGUUGACUAUGAUUUGUCUUGUAGCUUACUCGCUUAUGUUAUUUUACCUACGCUUAGGAUGUUGACAGCAGUAUAGACUGU
This 774-nucleotide ribosomal RNA is filed under the name uncultured Neocallimastigales. RNAcentral describes it as "partial large subunit ribosomal RNA". It matches the Rfam family "Eukaryotic large subunit ribosomal RNA", at positions 24 to 637 of the family's 3401-position model. Lineage: Eukaryota; Fungi; Neocallimastigomycota; Neocallimastigomycetes; Neocallimastigales. The record is from RNAcentral.